RNAcentral lists this ribosomal RNA (447 nucleotides) under uncultured bacterium. RNAcentral describes it as "bacterial SSU rRNA". It matches the Rfam family "Bacterial small subunit ribosomal RNA", at positions 355 to 825 of the family's 1533-position model. The record is from RNAcentral.
UCGGGAAUUUUGGGCAAUGGGCGAAAGCCUGACCCAGCAACGCCGCGUGAAGGAUGAAGUAUUUCGGUAUGUAAACUUCGAAAGAAUAGGAAGAAUAAAUGACGGUACUAUUUAUAAGGUCCGGCUAACUACGUGCCAGCAGCCGCGGUAAUACGUAGGGACCAAGCGUUGUUCGGAUUUACUGGGCGUAAAGCGCGUGUAGGCGGCUCUUCAAGUCAGGCGUGAAAGCCCCAGGCUCAACCUGGGAAAUGCGUUUGAUACUGUCGAGCUAGAGUGUGGAAGGGGCGAUUGGAAUUCCGUGUGUAGCGGUGAAAUGCGUAGAUAUACGGAGGAACACCAGAGGCGAAGGCGGAUCGCUGGGCCAACACUGACGCUGAGACGCGAAAGCUAGGGUAGCAAACGGGAUUAGAUACCCCCGUAGUCCCUGAGCGGGCUGGCAAGGCGCAU